ACUCAAAGGAAUAGACGGGGACCCGCACAAGCGGUGGAGCAUGUGGUUUAAUUCGAGGCAACGCGAAGAACCUUACCAGGCCUUGACAUGGGUAGUAUGGACCUUAGAAAUUUGGUCCUUCAGUUCGGCUGGCUACCACACAGGUGCUGCAUGGCUGUCGUCAGCUCGUGUCGUGAGAUGUUGGGUUAAGUCCCGCAACGAGCGCAACCCUCGUCCUCUGUUGCUAACAGGUAAUGCUGAGAACUCUGAGGAAACUGCCGGCGUUAAGCCGGAGGAAGGUGGGGAUGACGUCAAGUCUUCAUGGCCCUUACGGCCUGGGCUACACACGUGCUACAAUGGCGGUGACAAUGUGCUGCUACCUCGCGAGAGGAAGCGAAUCACAAAAAGCCGUCUCAGUUCGGAUUGCACUCUGCAACUCGAGUGCAUGAAGCUGGAAUCGCUAGUAAUCGUGGAUCAGCAUGCCACGGUGAAUACGUUCCCGGGUCUUGUACACACCGCCCGU
RNAcentral lists this ribosomal RNA (502 nucleotides) under uncultured bacterium. RNAcentral describes it as "partial 16S ribosomal RNA". It matches the Rfam family "Bacterial small subunit ribosomal RNA", at positions 899 to 1397 of the family's 1533-position model. The record is from RNAcentral.